UGUCAAGGUCUGCUCUUGCACAUAUUCUCUCAGCCUUAUAGGAGUUGUCGUCCUCGCUUUGUGUCAUUUAAUUCCUCCGGAGGAGCAUCAGGUUCGCUUUCGGUCCAGGUGCAAAACGGUUCAAAAGGGGGAGGGAAGCGAAACAGAAGUGCCACCACGUGUGUCCUUUUCUCCACCAUUCCUUCCACGUUCUUUUUGGGUCACUUCUGAAUGAGCCCUUCUCUUGGCUCGGCUGGUUUGGAGGGUCUGUCUUCGGAUCAAGACAGAGGGCAAAUCCAGAUCCCCGAGCAAAGUACGGCUGGUUUUCCUCUGGUUUGAGACAGGCGUUCUGUGUGCCAUGUCCAGGGCACUGUUCCACUCGCACGCCACAGCUUGAAGUGGUGGUCCCAGGCUCCUAGGCUGGUCAAUGCUGAGUGGUCAUGCUCAAACACUCACCAGGUAAGUUAAUGAUCUGCUUGCUGAUUGGACCAGGAAAUGGAUUUAUCGCCAGGCAACCCAGCAAUUCAGAAGCAUCUCAGGACUAUUUGCAAGGUACAUUUUUCUAUAUUCAAACAGUGUAGCACAUUCAGCGGUCUUUCACUCUUUCUUCUGGGAGCAGUGGUGUAGCGCCAAUGGAGGGGGAUGUGAUGCCCCGGGGAUGCACUGGGGUGGGGGCAGGGGUGGGGUGGGGUGGGAGGCGCCACGGCAGGGGCGCAGAGCAUGCGUGUGCCCCGGGCACAGUUCCUUCUCGCUCCGCCCCUGGCUGGGAGUCCUGCUCCCCUAGAAAGAGCCUUUACAUCCUCUCACAGGUUCGCCUCCAGUCAUAUAAUAAACAAAUAAACAUCCAGUCAUAUAAUAAACAAAUAAACUUUAACUCUGUCCUAUUUCCAAGCUUCAUUACAUCCACACUAUUUAACUCAGCCUUAUGGGAAUUGUAGUUUCCCAUCAAUGUCCUCUAUUUGUCUGAAAGACUGUCAAUUUUGUCUUCUGUAAAAAGGGCCAAGGCACCUUGAAGGGAGCAGGAAAUGAGAUCGAAGCAUCACAGCUGGGAAGCUGUGUAGCAACUGCUCCGGGGGCAGUCAGCAGCGAGGCCAACGGAUCUGAGGCUCAGCUCAGGAGCAAUCACGGUUGUGGAAGCUGCGAAACAACAUCGGGAAGGAUGUCCGGAUGAGACCUGCGUCUUGGCCAACAGAAUCUUCUCUGCCGCAGAAGCAAUUCCUUCGUCAUGAUGCAUCCAACACUUUCCUGACUGCCUCCUCAAGGUCUUCUGACUGCGGAAGGAGAGAACUCUCUCAGAAGAAUCUACUGAAGAACUUCCUGGCAGCUGGAGCAGUUCCUCGGUGGGAACAGGCUUAGGGGCUCUCCUUCUUUGGAGGUUUUAGACCAGAGCCCAGAUGCUGAUGCUGUGGACAUAGGCAGGUCAAGAGAUGGAGGGCCGGAGGGGAUGAGUCAGUCCUUGGUCCUCCUGGCCCUUUCUCAUGUGGCCAGGGCAUUUUGGGGUCAGGAAGGAAUUUUCCUCCAGGCCAGAUGGGUCAGGGAUCCUGGAGGUUUUGUGCCUUCUUCUAGGCAUAGAGCAGGGGUCACUCAAGGGAACAGGGGAGAGGUAGCUGUGAAUUUUCUGAGUUGUGUAGGCGAUUGGACUAGAUGACCCCUAAAGUCCCUUCCAGCUCUGUGUUUCCAAAGGCCAGCCUUUCCAGAAAAACAAUCACUGCCUUUCUGCAGAGGAGCUUGACUCUCACUCGCCAGGACUAUCUCCUCACUGUAGUGGUUGUUGUAAUUUAGAAACAUCCUUAUAGGAACAUAAAGGAUGGGAAUUUGCAGAAGAUCCCUGCUGGUUCCAGUGCAAAAGGACUCGGAGAGCAUUCAGGGGGACCUAGGGAAUACUUUGUUUGUUUGGCAAUAAACUAAUACAUUUACUUUUA
Molecule: long non-coding RNA, 1901 nt
Organism: Sphaerodactylus townsendi
Lineage: Eukaryota; Metazoa; Chordata; Lepidosauria; Squamata; Sphaerodactylidae
Exons: 2
Source: RefSeq, a predicted model, not a curated record